UAAAGAUCCUUCAGCUGCUUCCCUCCAGCCCUUUUGCUGUCCUCCUGUCCCCGUGGGAAUUAGUGUAUCUCUGUUUAACUAUCCUUUAGCUGCAGUGUUAGCGUGAGGCUGGUUCUUUGAGCCAGAUAGCUCUUUCUCAGACACUUAGGGGCACGUUAAGACUCUUGUCUAGAGAAGAAAAUCGUCCUGGUGAGCAUAUUGCCCCACUGAAUGCUUUAGGUGUCACACAAAUGCUGUGCUGUUUUAAAGUUGCUCUGUGCUGUGCCUGCAGCUAAGGUGAGAGCAAGCCAGACCCAGGAUUGGAGUGUGUAAAAGAGGAUCUUUGUCCACAGCUGAGGAGAUAGCUCUGGUGGUUAGCCCUUUUAAGUCACCCUUCACAGGUCCGUCCUCCAAGUCCCGCCCCUUGCUCUGAUUCUUGUUGAUUUUCUGCGGAGAUCCCAGUGCGGUGUUCCAGGUACAGGUUUGUCUCUGUUUAUCAAGGAGCUUUCCUUUCUUUAUGCCAUGGCACUGACAAGCACCACCUGAUGUUAUACUGACCUUGCUCUGACUGCCUCUUGAACACGUUGGCCUGUUUAAACUGUAUUUAAUAUAACCACAGAAUUAAAAACAAAAAAUGACGUUCCACAAACUUUCUAAAAGUCAGUGAGUGA
Oxyura jamaicensis (ruddy duck) is the source of this 650-nucleotide long non-coding RNA. RefSeq lists it as uncharacterized. The transcript is spliced from 3 exons. NCBI's taxonomy places the organism in Eukaryota, Metazoa, Chordata, Aves, Anseriformes, Anatidae. The record is from RefSeq and is a predicted model, not a curated record.